Corticium candelabrum is the source of this 1021-nucleotide long non-coding RNA. RefSeq lists it as uncharacterized. NCBI's taxonomy places the organism in Eukaryota, Metazoa, Porifera, Homoscleromorpha, Homosclerophorida, Plakinidae. The record is from RefSeq and is a predicted model, not a curated record. The transcript has 2 exons.
CAAUGGAAUCAUUAUAUCAAAAAGCGAACAAGUAAACAACAAAACUAAUUUCGUAUUUCGUUUUAUUCUUGCGACCUCAGAUUUUUGUUUGUGUUUGCAGAUUGUUGAUGGAAGUUGAGAGUCACAUAUAAUCUCUAGGGCACUCGUAUUCGCCUCAACUUGAGCAGGAAAUUGAGGGUAAAUUAGAGGAGUUGUUCUCUGAUAUUCAGAGGUUGGAGCAGAUGGUCGCUAAAGAACCACCUUCCAGGAAGCAGAGCGCCAAACUCAACAAGAUUGCGGUUGGGGUGUGAUGUACUUGCUUCUGUUGUUGAGAAAUAUGAGUAUGGAAGAAAUAUUGAUAGGGAAGGGUUUCACCUAUUGACAUGUAAGUCUGGUGGAGGGCCCAUUUGGUCCCACAACUCCAUUGUUAGUGUCUGGUGUGAUUAUCUGCAAGAGGUGAAUACAACUUAUCGAAGAGAGCCUAGAGAUCUGUAUGACGGCACGAAUUCAUGUCCUGACAUCGUAGCAUUUGAUUCUAAAAACGGCAGAGAUCUUGAAUUAGAUAUAUCUGUUGCUCAUCCGUGGAAUGCUGACAUACUACUUAGAGCAGCUGAAGAAGACAGAGAAGCAGCACGAAUGAGAGAAAUGGUAAAAUUGCAGAAAUAUGGAAAGGAAGUAGACAUAUUUGGAAAUGGCUCAAACUGGGUGACCUCUAGUGUUUGAACAUUAUGGGAGAUGGGGUGAGCACCCCAUCAAGUUUCUUUGUCACCUGUCUGAACUGUCUGUGGAUGAAUACGACUGCAAGAACAGCACGGAAUUCAAGUCUCUCUGGCGUCAAGCUUUUUCUGUAGCUCUACAGCGAUGUAAUGCCCCUGGUGCUGUCAAGAAAACUGUGUAGACUUGCUAGAACUAGUAAAUUAGAUUUAGACUCUUAUUACAAACAAUUGGUACAGUAGUUCAUUAAUUGCUUUGCUGUCGCUGGACAAUAUUUAGCCUGUACUAGCAGUUGCAAUAUGCAAAUAUAUUUAUUGACAGACAUACA